GGGUCUACCCAUUGGUCAGGCUUAAUUGUCUGCACUGGUGAGAUGGAUCUCUACCUUCUGAGGAACUUUCAUGCCAUUCAUUUGGUGUGAUGGGAAAUCAGGACUGUUACUUUGAAAAAAUUAGAGUGUUUAAAGCAGACUAUCGUCUGAAUACAUUAGCAUGGAAUAAUGAAAUAGGACGGACUGAUUCUAUUUCGUUGGUUUCUAGGAUCACCGUA
Molecule: ribosomal RNA, 218 nt
Filed under: uncultured Diversispora
Lineage: Eukaryota; Fungi; Glomeromycota; Glomeromycetes; Diversisporales; Diversisporaceae
Description: partial small subunit ribosomal RNA
Rfam family: Eukaryotic small subunit ribosomal RNA (bases 47-218)
Source: RNAcentral